This is a long non-coding RNA of Lathyrus oleraceus (garden pea), 522 nucleotides long. RefSeq lists it as uncharacterized. The record is from RefSeq and is a predicted model, not a curated record. The transcript has 2 exons. Lineage: Eukaryota; Viridiplantae; Streptophyta; Magnoliopsida; Fabales; Fabaceae.
UUCUCUCUUCGAGAAGACGAUCGGAGGCGGCGGCUCACGGUGGAGCCUCCGCUCUUCUCCGUCGCUUCACUCUCUCUCUUCCCUAACUCUUUUCAUGAACCACUUCCCUCUUUCUCCUUCUCAUAAUUUCGAGCCACACGACAUAAAAUCAUACGAAAACAAACUCAACCGAAAAAUCUACAAAAAGGGAACUCAUGGAGGAAGACAGAGGUGAAUUAUUUACCAAAUCGGAAGUUCUGAAAAUCUCCGGGUUCGGUGAGAUCCUCCGGAUGCAGGCAACGGUUCUCUUCGGCGAGCGACUCUUCAGUGAGGUUACAGCUCUGAGGUGGCUUUGAUGGAAUGGGAAGAAGAAGUAGGCUGUAGGACAGUACACUUGGAGGCGCGCUAGUCUUGGCCAUUAGAAUUAGGGACCUUUUUGCAGCAAAUUCUACUUAGUUAAAAUGUAACUAUUUAGUUUAGUUUUUUUUUUUAAUUUCUAAUUUAAGUAUAAUGACUUAACUUAAAAACAAAUUUCUAAUUUAA